This 477-nucleotide non-coding RNA is filed under the name Onchocerca ochengi. RNAcentral describes it as "Eukaryotic large subunit ribosomal RNA". It matches the Rfam family "Eukaryotic large subunit ribosomal RNA", at positions 813 to 1372 of the family's 3401-position model. Lineage: Eukaryota; Metazoa; Nematoda; Chromadorea; Rhabditida; Onchocercidae. The record is from Rfam by way of RNAcentral.
GUUUAUAAGUUAUGAGCAUUAAAAAAUAUUUGUUGGAGACAGAAGAAAAUCUGAUGGCGGUAAAGAAUCGAUUCUGACGUGCAAAUCGAUCAUCUAAAGAUCAACUCGAAUAAUCUAGUAGCUAGUUCCGUCUGAAAUUUUCUUCAGCUAAAGUACGUAAUGAAGCUGUUAUAUUCGGUAAAGCGAAUGAUUAGAGGAAUUUUGGGACGAAACGUCUUCAACCUAUUCGCAAACUUUCAAAUAAAAUUUGACGUCUCGUUUGCUUGAAUGAAGCAUAGAAAUUGAAUAUGUGCUCCAAAUGAGCCAUUUUUAGUAAGCAGAACUAGCGCUGUGGGAUGAAACAAACAUUAAGUUAAAAUAUAAAUCUUCCGCUCAAGCAUCAUCCAUUUUCAGGGCUAAUUGAUUUAUUAUUGUCAAAUAUAUCUGUUGAUGUUUCUGUUCCAAAAAUAUAUUUGUUCAUGAAUAACAAGCAUAAAU